RNAcentral lists this transfer RNA (92 nucleotides) under Rhodospirillales bacterium. RNAcentral's name for it is "tRNA-Ser". It matches the Rfam family "tRNA". From Rfam's summary of the family: Transfer RNA (tRNA) molecules are approximately 80 nucleotides in length. Their secondary structure includes four short double-helical elements and three loops (D, anti-codon, and T loops). Lineage: Bacteria; Pseudomonadati; Pseudomonadota; Alphaproteobacteria; Rhodospirillales. RNAcentral also lists the same sequence under 3 other names. The record is from RNAcentral.
GGAUGGGUGGCCGAGCGGUUGAAGGCACCGGUCUUGAAAACCGGCAGGCCCUGUGAGGGGUCUCGUGGGUUCGAAUCCCACCCCAUCCGCCA